CCACCCCCACACAUCCAAUGGCAAUGGAUGUCCAGAGAGGACUGCCCAAUCAUCUUCCAGUUGUUGAUUCUGUGGAGGAAAAACAGCUGUUGAUGAAAGCAUUAACAGAGACAAUGAGUGUGCCCUCUGACCUGCAUCAGAUAAGUGGAUGUGCUUCAUACUUCUCACAGUCAGGAGUGGUGAACUUUGGGGUCAAGCUGGAGGGCUGUACCAAAUAGAGGGACAUCAGCAAUACCACAGGGCAGGAGAAUCCUAUCCAUCGAAUUAGCACUAACACAGAUCACUUACACAAGACUGUGAGUUCUCUAAAGAUCCAGAAAGCCAAGGUCCACGCUCUCUACAGAUGCUUGACUUCUAACAAAGCGGGACAAGAUUCACGAAACAUCCUUUUCCAUGUGACACAUGUUGUAAUGGCUGGACUUGCUCACCGGAUGGAAGCACUGGGGGGGUUGAAUUUCACAGCAUCGUACUGGACAUCCUCAUCCUCUUUCUGGGGUUGAGGCAGUUGGACAGUGGAGUACAGAGGCACUUCCUGGUUAUUGGAGCAAUAGAGGUGGACAUUGGCAUAGUGAACAUCACCCUGCUCGUCUGUGCUGCAGUGGGGCCAUUGUC
Coregonus clupeaformis (lake whitefish) is the source of this 612-nucleotide long non-coding RNA. RefSeq lists it as uncharacterized. The record is from RefSeq and is a predicted model, not a curated record. The transcript has 5 exons. NCBI's taxonomy places the organism in Eukaryota, Metazoa, Chordata, Actinopteri, Salmoniformes, Salmonidae.